UACGGGAGUGGCAAGCGUUAUCCGGAAUUAUUGGGCGUAAAGCGUCCGCAGGCGGUCUUUUAAGUCUGUCGUCAAAGCGUGGAGCUUAACUCCAUUUCUGCGAUGGAAACUGGAAGACUAGAGUGUGGUAGGGGCAGAGGGAAUUCCCGGUGUAGCGGUGAAAUGCGUAGAUAUCGGGAAGAACACCAGUGGCGAAGGCGCUCUGCUGGGCCAUAACUGACGCUCAUGGACGAAAGCCAGGGGAGCGAAAGGGAUUAGAUACCCCUGUAGUCCUGGCCGUAAACGAUGAACACUAGGUGUCGGGGGAAUCGACCCCCUCGGUGUCGUAGCCAACGCGUUAAGUGUUCCGCCUGGGGAGUACGCACGCAAGUGUGAAACUCAAAGGAAUUGACGGGGGCCCGCACAAGCGGUGGAGUAUGUGGUUUAAUUCGAUGCAACGCGAAGAACCUUACCAGGGUUUGACAUCCUGCGAAUCUCUUGGAAACGAGAGAGUGCCUUCGGGAACGCAGUGACAGGUGGUGCAUGGCUGUCGUCAGCUCGUGUCGUGAGAUGUUGGGUUAAGUCCCGCAACGAGCGCAACCCACGUCGUUAGUUGCCAGCAUUUAGUUGGGCACUCUAGCGAGACCGCCGGUGAUAAACCGGAGGAAGGUGUGGAUGACGUCAAGUCAUCAUGCCCCUUACAUCCUGGGCUACACACGUACUACAAUGCUACGGACAAAGGGCAGCAAACUCGCGAGAGCUAGCAAAUCCCAUAAACCGUGGCUCAGUUCAGAUCGUAGGCUGCAACUCGCCUACGUGAAGGAGGAAUCGCUAGUAAUCGCAGGUCAGCAUACUGCGGUGAAUACGUUCCCGGGCCU
This 857-nucleotide ribosomal RNA is filed under the name uncultured bacterium. RNAcentral's name for it is "SSU rRNA". It matches the Rfam family "Bacterial small subunit ribosomal RNA", at positions 524 to 1381 of the family's 1533-position model. The record is from RNAcentral.